This 788-nucleotide long non-coding RNA is filed under the name Mustela putorius furo (domestic ferret). RNAcentral describes it as "lncRNA (ENSMPUG00000029829.1)". Lineage: Eukaryota; Metazoa; Chordata; Mammalia; Carnivora; Mustelidae. The record is from RNAcentral.
UCAUGGUUCACCUCCCCUUCCAAUUUCCCGCAAUUCCCUUCUCCUCUCUAACUCCAGAGAUUAUGCAUUUAAUCAUGUUAGUAAGCAAAAUGCUUUAAAUGAAAUAUGUAUUUUUAUUUCCAACAGACCAUUCAUCACCUAAGCCUGGAUGAAGUCUAAGUCUUAGUCUUAAGCCACAUCAAAACGUGUCAUCAUCUCAUGGAAGUUGCCAGAAUUUCUACCUCUUUGUUGCAUGUUGGACCAACUCAGCCUAUUUCAAGGAUGCCACCUAUGAAACUUUGUUCUCCUUCUUUCCUCAGAUAAGUAAUUUAUGACAGAGUUGGGCAAUUUUCCCAGAAGGGGACAUCUGGCAAUGUCUGCAGACAUUUUUGAUUGCCACAACUGCAGAAGUAGAAGCCAAGGAUGCUGCAAAACAUCCUACAAUGCACAGAGCAGUUCCUCACAACAGAGAAUGCUCUGGUCCAAAUGUCAAUAGUUCCAACGUUGGGAAACUGAUGUGACUACGUGGUAAGUCGAGAGAUUCAGCAUCAUACUUUUUUUUGGAAUUUUAACUAUCCUCCACCCCACUGCCUUUUGUGACCCCCCCCCCCACCACACUGGAUGUGCUUGGCUUUUUAUUCUUCUGGAUGGAUUUUAGGAUUAGUUUCUCAAGAGAAACGCUUUUCGGAUUUUAAUUAAUUUGCAUUCAGUUAAUCAAUUAAUAUGGAAGCAAUUGACAGUUUUAUUAUAUUGAUUCUUCCUAUUUAGUAUGAUAUAAAUCUAUGUUUAUUUUGGUCUUUUGAAAGGCC